CCUACGGGAGGCUGCAGUGGGGAAUAUUGCACAAUGGGGGAAACCCUGAUGCAGCGACGCCGCGUGAGUGAAGAAGUAUUUCGGUAUGUAAAGCUCUAUCAGCAGGGACGAUAAUGACGGUACCUGACUAAGAAGCCCCGGCUAACUACGUGCCAGCAGCCGCGGUAAUACGUAGGGGGCAAGCGUUAUCCGGAUUUACUGGGUGUAAAGGGAGCGUAGACGGCCUGGUAAGUCAGGUGUGAAAGCCCGGGGCUCAACCCCGGGAUUGCACUUGAAACUACCAAGCUAGAGUGCAGGAGAGGUAAGUGGAAUUCCUAGUGUAGCGGUGAAAUGCGUAGAUAUUAGGAGGAACACCAGUGGCGAAGGCGGCUUACUGGACUGUAACUGACGUUGAGGCUCGAAAGCGUGGGGAGCAAACAGGAUUAGAUACCCCUGUAGUC
RNAcentral lists this ribosomal RNA (440 nucleotides) under uncultured bacterium. Its description in RNAcentral is "bacterial SSU rRNA". It matches the Rfam family "Bacterial small subunit ribosomal RNA", at positions 338 to 795 of the family's 1533-position model. The record is from RNAcentral.